CUCCCGCUUCUUCCAUCCAUUCGAAAAAAUAAUACAUAUAGAAAUAUCUCCGGAGAGAGAGGCGCUGCUAUUUCAAAUCGCCAUUUUCACACACACACACACACACACACAUACACACACACACAGAGGGCAGAUCUACGGUUUCGUUUUUCCAUUCUCAGAGAUUUCAUCAAUAUCAAGAGGUAUUUCUCUUCUCUUGCAAUAGAUAUGAGUCUUUUCUCAUCUCUAUGCUGCUCUUCCCACGUUUUAGGGUGUGGUUUUUUUUUUCUUCUUCUUUUAUGCCGUAUGCCGAGGAAGAUUAGGGUUUCUGCCCUUGGGAGACGUUUCAAUUUCGUUUUGGUCGGAAGCAUCUCUCUCUAUCUAUACAUCCGAGUGGAUAUGGCCAUGGAAAUGUCAGAUUUCUUCUCAGAUCUUACAUUUUCCUGCAAUUGAGGCAUGUUUAAAGCCAGAGACAGACGAAUACCAUGCUUUUCGAUGAUUUUCCGUACGAGUACGCUGCGGAAUUGUUAAUUUUAGGCUUUCUGAAGGUUAUUUUAGUAGAUUCGGUGAUUUUCAAGUUUUUAAUUUCUCGAUUUGUAAUAGAUUUCGGGGUUUUUUCUGUUGUAAUUUGUGUAUUCUUAGGGCAGAUUCAUAGAAUAUGGGUUUUCUGUGGUGUUUUUGUUUUGAAUGAUAUGGCGGUUUCUAGGGUUCGUUGUGAGCUUCUGUGGGUUUUGAAGGGUUUCAAGUAUUCUUGUUAUUUGCAUAAUUGAGGGCAGAUUGGCACAAUUAGGGUUUUCUGAGAUUUUCUUCUUUUUUUUUUUCAAAAAAUUGUGGUUUCUGGGUUUUGUGUGGUGGAUGAGAAGGGUUUGUUGGAAUUUUGAACGAUUUCUGGGGUUAUUUCCGUCAAUAUAGUCUCCAUCGAGCGGUUUAUAUGAAAAAUUUGUGGAAUUAGGUUUAUCUAAUGGUUCCUUUGGCGGAAUUUGGUGCUUUGGGUUGAUAUGCUGUAGUGAAAAGGGGUUUCUGUUUGGGUUUCGGUCUUUCCUAUUUCCCGAGGUGAUUAGGAAAUUGAAUUAAGCAGUUUUGUAAGCUGCAGAUUUCUGGAACUAUGCCUUUUUAAGUUUUAUAUAGUUCACAGAAGGCUUUUCUCGCAAAAAGUAGGUUUCAAGAUUUAUAUUGCUUGAAUGAUAGUUGAAGGACAUAUGUUGGAAAGGUUUUAAUGGCGGCAGGAAGUGAAUUGUUGUUGAGAAAGGCAGGCAGUUGCAGUCUGAAAGAAGAGAUGGCCAAGGUGACGCUUCGUGGUAUCCGGAAUCAGGGGCAUCCAUACGUCGAGCUAAGGGAAAAUGAGAAACGGUUCACCUUCUUUUGCACGUUGUGUCUCUCCCCCUGUUAUGGUGAAACCACGCUGCUCAAUCAUCUCAAAGGAAACCUUCAUGCUCAAAGGUAUGCCGAUGCGAAACUUACCCUCUUUGGAUCCACACCAUGGCCUUUUAAUGAUGGCAUCUUUUUCUUCCAUCAAUCAUCUGACAAAGACCAACGACAGUUAACAGUAUUGAAUUCUAACGUAUGAUAAGAUUUCAGUUGCUAACAGUGACAACUCUGGAGCUAUUAUGAGUAACAGACAUGACAAUACUUUGGAAGCUGAUAGCAGCGAUGGAAUUGGGCUUAAUGGGAAUAAUGGAAGUGUCAAUUUGAAGCCCAAAGACAUUAUUCUUGGACUUUCUUAUAAUGCCUGUGAUAAAAUUGUAAAUAAAGCUCAUAUGAUAAAAUUCUUGGACUCUGCAUUUCUAUCAAGCAGUGGAACAGAAUAAAGCUUAACCUAAAGCUCAUAUGACACGUUAGACUCAUUAGUCUCAUAUGAAACAUUAGAUUCACUAGUUUGCAAUCUACUCAAAAGUAACAGGUAGAUGACUUGGAUAUUGUUUAGUGGAAUUCAUUCUUUUAUUUGUUAUCCAAACCCUUUUUUCUUUUUUCAGGCCAUUUGCUCAUUCAAUCUCCUGAGUGUUUUUUUUCUUCUUUGAAUUCUAUAUUAAUUUUCAUUUUUGAAUUUUUGUGUAACUUUCAAGGAUGGAUUUGGACUGUGAAUUUAGCCCUCUCAAUAGAAGAAAAGUGAGGUCACCAUGAGUCAUUGGAAUUUGGAAUGUAUUUCAAGCAAGGGAUAGCUGAUGCAACAAAAAGAGCUUUGACUGAGUAGACCUGGUCACAUCAAGUUGUAUGCAUAAACUGGAUCUCAAAGAGAAUAAGCUGUAUUGGAUUUUCUUUAAUUUUGCAGUUGAGGUAAGCCUUACUGUUUCUUGGAUUUUUAAACAGGGAGAUUUCUAACCUGGUACAGGACAUGAAUUUACUUCCUGUGCGUAGCUCAAGAAUGGGAUACCUUGCACAAUGAUCCGGUGAUCCUUGAAGUUCACUAUGUUAUAAAGAUGCAACGGUCAUAAUACUGAGGUCAUGGUUUUUUCCUCAUUGCACUAUGUUAUAAUAUCUGUACUUUUUCGUUCUUUGAGAGAAUUUUGAGUGGAAAUGGAAUCACUAUGGGCCCCCUGGAACUCCAUUACUUCUGCACUAGUCUUAAGUGAUAGUGGCCAUACAUCCAUGUGUUCAUUUAGCUGUGGUUUGAGCAUGGUAGGCGAGCAGUUGUAUCUUGGAACAUAAGGCUCCAAUUUAUCUAGCUCCAGAUAAUGGUGACAUGCUGGUGAGGUAAAAUAGAUCAUUUUAAAUUCUAUAAAACAUGGCUAUAUGGUGACUGCGAGUUGAUAAGGCUUGGACUCUAAUUUCUCCUUUCUUUUCCAUAGUAAUGAUUUUAUUUUUUUUUGGAGUUCUUCUUCUUUGUUUCUGUAAUGGUAUGCUGAUUUCUCUUAAGUCGACAUCCUGAUGGUUUAAGUGUUUGGAACUGAGGCUGGUGUUUUCUCUCGGGUUCUCAUCAUGUUUAGGAAUUGGGCUCCUUGAGCUGGUCGUGUUGGGGGUCUUACUAUACAAUGGAUGGUUUUUGUAGAGCUAUUGUUUCUUUUAGUUCCUUUUCAUUCUCUCUUUUGUUGUAUUUUCUUUUCUUUUGGUAGUCUGUUCUCUCUCUCUCUCUCUCUCUCUCUCUCUCUCUCUCUCUCUUGUUUUGUUCAGGCUGGUGCUAAACAUGUUUAUGCGGUGGAGGCAUCUGAAAUGGCAGAAUAUGCACGCAGGCUUAUUGCUGGGAAUCCAUCAUUGAGAGAAUGGAUUACGGUGAUCAAAGGUAAAGUUGAGGAUGUUGAAUUGCCUGAGAAAGCAGGCAUUCUGAUUUCUGGGGCUAUAUGAUUCAGAAGGGUGUUGCAAGGAGCACAGAUCCAUUGCCAAAAUAUUAGAUCUGAGGCAACAUGAUUGUGUUGAGAUUUCCAUCUUAUUUCCAUGGUUUCUCUGUUUGUGUUGAGAUUUCAAGUCUCUUGGACUAAGGGAAAAAACCCAUCUCUAUUUUUCUUC
Magnolia sinica is the source of this 3420-nucleotide long non-coding RNA. RefSeq lists it as uncharacterized. The record is from RefSeq and is a predicted model, not a curated record. NCBI's taxonomy places the organism in Eukaryota, Viridiplantae, Streptophyta, Magnoliopsida, Magnoliales, Magnoliaceae. The transcript is spliced from 3 exons.